AGCUCAGUUGUUGAAUCAUAUGAUAAGAGUAUGUUUAUUUUUAUAAGAAACUACCAAACUGUCUUCUAAAGUGGCUGUACAUUUUACAUUCUCACCAUCAGU
Molecule: microRNA precursor, 102 nt
Filed under: Marmota monax (woodchuck)
Lineage: Eukaryota; Metazoa; Chordata; Mammalia; Rodentia; Sciuridae
Source: RNAcentral